This 244-nucleotide unclassified non-coding RNA is filed under the name Anthopsis sp. RNAcentral describes it as "partial contains 5.8S ribosomal RNA, internal transcribed spacer 2, and large subunit ribosomal RNA". The stretch from base 1 to 52 matches the Rfam family "5.8S ribosomal RNA", at positions 103 to 154 of the family's 154-position model. The record is from RNAcentral. Lineage: Eukaryota; Fungi; Ascomycota; Eurotiomycetes; Chaetothyriales; Cyphellophoraceae.
AACGCACAUUGCGCCCGCCAGUAUUCUGGCGGGCAUGCCUGUUCGAGCGUCAUUUCAACCAUCAAGCCCCCGGCUUGCGUUGGGGCCCUGCGGCUGCCGCAGGCCCUUAAAAACAGUGGCGGGCUCGCUGUCACACCGAGCGUAGUAAUACAUCUCGCUUUGGACGUGCGGCGGGUUCUUGCCGUGAAACACCCCCCCUCUCAAGGUUGACCUCGGAUCAGGUAGGAAUACCCGCUGAACUUAA